This 449-nucleotide ribosomal RNA is filed under the name uncultured bacterium. RNAcentral's name for it is "partial 16S ribosomal RNA". It matches the Rfam family "Bacterial small subunit ribosomal RNA", at positions 29 to 523 of the family's 1533-position model. The record is from RNAcentral.
AGUGAACGCUGGCGGCGUGCCUAAUACAUGCAAGUCGAACGAAGCCUUCGGGCUUAGUGGCGCACGGGUGCGUAACGCGUGGGAAUCUGCCCUUGGGUUCGGAAUAACAGUUAGAAAUGACUGCUAAUACCGGAUGAUGACGUAAGUCCAAAGAUUUAUCGCCCAAGGAUGAGCCCGCGUAGGAUUAGGUAGUUGGUGAGGUAAAGGCUCACCAAGACGACGAUCCUUAGCUGGUCUGAGAGGAUGAUCAGCCACACUGGGACUAAGACACGGCCCAGACUCCUACGGGAGGCAGCAGUGGGGAAUAUUGGACAAUGGGCGAAAGCCUGAUCCAGCAAUGCCGCGUGAGUGAUGAAGGCCUUAGGGUUGUAAAGCUCUUUUACCCGGGAUGAUAAUGACAGUACCGGGAGAAUAAGCUCCGGCUAACUCCGUGCCAGCAGCCGCCGCAG